This 289-nucleotide unclassified non-coding RNA is filed under the name uncultured fungus. Its description in RNAcentral is "partial contains small subunit ribosomal RNA, internal transcribed spacer 1, and 5.8S ribosomal RNA". The stretch from base 1 to 73 matches the Rfam family "Eukaryotic small subunit ribosomal RNA", at positions 1759 to 1831 of the family's 1831-position model. Lineage: Eukaryota; Fungi. The record is from RNAcentral.
UCAAACUUGGUCAUUUAGAGGAAGUAAAAGUCGUAACAAGGUUUCCGUAGGUGAACCUGCGGAAGGAUCAUUACAAAUCGUUGGGAGAGGAGGUGGGACUUGGGGCAGCCUCUGUUAGGGGGCAGCCUCUGUUAGGGGUGACCUCUGCCAGCCUCUCUCUCCACAUGUGUGCGGGGUCGCAAGACCCUGUGACAUUUGCGCUUGUCCUGUUUGUCAGAGUAGCGAUCAUCUCAAUGUGACAACUUUUAACAAUGGAUCUCUUGGCUCUUGCAUCGAUGAAGAACGCAGC